GUAAACGGCGGCCGUAACUAUAACGGUCCUAAGGUAGCGAAAUUCCUUGUCGGGUAAGUUCCGACCUGCACGAAUGGUGUAAUGAUCUGGACACUGUCUCAACCGUGAGCUCGGUGAAAUUGUAGUAUCGGUGAAGAUGCCGAUUACCCGCGAUGGGACGAAAAGACCCCGUGAACCUUUACUAUAGCUUAACAUUGAAUUUGGGUAAUUGAUGUGUAGGAUAGGCCGGAGGCUUCGAAGCAGGUACGCCAGUAUUUGUGGAGCCGCUGUUGAAAUACGGCCCUUUGAUUAUUUGAGUUCUAACCCGUGGAUACGGGGACACUGUUUGGUGGGUAGUUUGACUGGGGUGGUCGCCUCCAAAAGCGUAACGGAGGCUUCUAAAGGUGCCCUCACGACGAUUGGUAACCGUCGGCAGAGUGUAAUGGCAUAAGGGCGCUUGACUGGGAGACUAACAAGUCGAUCAGGUAGGAAACUAGAGCAUAGUGAUCCGGUGUUUCUGUAUGGAAAGGACAUCGCUCAAAGGAUAAAAGGUACUCCGGGGAUAACAGGCUGAUCCCUCCCAAGAGCUCAUAUCGACGGAGGGGUUUGGCACCUUGAUGUCGGCUCGUCACAUCCUGGGGCUGGAGAAGGUCCCAAGGGUUCGGCUGUUCGCCGAUUAAAGUGGCACGCGAGCUGGGUUCAGAACGUCGUGAGACAGUUCGGUCUCUAUCUGUUGUGGGCGCAGGAAAUUUGCGGAGAUCCGACACUAGUACGAGAGGACCGUGUUGGACAGACCCCUGGUGCAUCGGUUGUUCCGCCAGGAGCACAGCCGAGUAGCUAAGUCUGGAAGGGAUAAGCGCUGAAAGCAUCUAAGUGCGAAGCCCACUCCAAGAUAAGAUUUCCAUAUAGGGACGUCAAAGACGAUGACGUAGAUAGGCCGCAGGUGUACAGGCAGCAAUGUCACAGCCGAGCGGUACUAAUAGCCCGAAACUUUCGGAA
This 978-nucleotide ribosomal RNA is filed under the name human gut metagenome. Its description in RNAcentral is "bacterial LSU rRNA". It matches the Rfam family "Bacterial large subunit ribosomal RNA", at positions 1923 to 2925 of the family's 2925-position model. The record is from RNAcentral.